UCAGCUUGGCGGCAAUAUGAAGCCAUAUUUCAACACAUCUCCUUGGUUUUCAACUUGUUGACCCCUAACAGAUCUCUUAGAUAAGUAAAUUUCUCCUUGUUCAGACUUUUGGUAAAUAUAUCAGCUAUUUGUUCAGAUGUACCACAAUGUAGAACAUAAAUUUCUUCUUCUUUAACAACAUCUCGGAUGAAGUGAAACUUCACUUUUAUGUGCUUUGUCCUCCCAUGAUGCACUGAAUUCUUAGCAAUAGAUAUUGCUGAUUGAUUGUUUAUCAUUAAAGGUGUUCUUGACCUCUUUUCGAACCCUAAAUCUCCUAAUACUUUCUUGAUCCAGAUAGCUUGAUUUGCAGCUGAGGUAGCUGCAAUAUACUCUGCUUCAGCUAAGGAUUGUGCAACCACCUCCUGUUUUUUAGAGUUUCAAGAGAAAACUGCACUUCCAAAUGAAAAACAAUAGCUUUUAGUGCUUUUAGAAUCGUCCAAACUGCUUGCCUAGUCACUGUCACAUAAACCAAUCAAUUCACUGCUCUUGUUUUUCUCAAAUCUCAAACCAUAAUCUAUUAUCCUUUUUAUAUACCUCAGAACUCUCUUUUCUACCAAGUAGUGAUUGUGAGAAGGUUUCUGCAUAAAUCUGGACAACAAGCUUGUAAGAUACAUCAAGUCUGGUCUUGAGGCAGUCAAGUAUAGUAGACUUCCUAUGAUACUUUUGUAAUUCGAACAUACAACCUCAGGAGUUCCAUCAUCUCUACUCAACUUAUUGUUGGAAGUAAGAGGAGUCUCAACAGACUUACAAUUCUCCAUGAAAUCUCUAGUGAAUACAAAUUGAAUCUGCACUCUGAAUAAAUUAUAGUCCCAGGAAAUAAUUCAUCUCCCUCAAGUCUAACAUUUCAAACUCCUUCAUCAGUUGUGUUUUGCAAUCUGACAUAACAUUGUCAUCAACACCAGCAAUCAAAAGGUCAUCGACAUAUGGUUUAAUGAAACCCUCAGGUUGAUGAAUGAAGAUAUCUUCAGUAAGGUGAUCAUUCAAAAAGGCAGAUUUCACAUCAAGGUAUGAGGUAUCUACGCUAUCUAUUAGAAGUAUUCAGAAUGAAUAAGCUCAAGAAUUUAUGGAAGAACUCUACACCAGGCUGACGGCUAAAAAAGGAACAAAGAAGCUUGGAAAUGAAAAGAUACUAAAACGCAGAGUUUAAAUAAAAGACAAAGGAGUGCCAUCCAAACGCUGCGUAUUAGGUUCAGCUAAAGACCAAUGA
This is a non-coding RNA of Theobroma cacao (cacao), 1246 nucleotides long. NCBI's taxonomy places the organism in Eukaryota, Viridiplantae, Streptophyta, Magnoliopsida, Malvales, Malvaceae. The record is from RefSeq and is a predicted model, not a curated record.